This 301-nucleotide ribosomal RNA is filed under the name uncultured bacterium. Its description in RNAcentral is "partial 16S ribosomal RNA". It matches the Rfam family "Bacterial small subunit ribosomal RNA", at positions 509 to 807 of the family's 1533-position model. The record is from RNAcentral.
CAGUCGCCACGGUAAUACGUAGGGUGCGAGCGUUAAUCGGAAUUACUGGGCGUAAAGCGAGCGCAGACGGUUAUUUAAGCAGGAUGUGAAAUCCCCGGGCUUAACCUGGGAACUGCGUUCUGAACUGGAUAGCUAGAGUGUGUCAGAGGGGGGUAGAAUUCCACGUGUAGCAGUGAAAUGCGUAGAGAUGUGGAGGAACACCGAUGGCGAAGGCAGCCCCCUGGGCCAAUACUGACGCUCAUGCACGAAAGCGUGGGGAGCAAACAGGAUUAGAUACCCCUGUAGUCCCUGUCUCUUAUAC